ACGAACGCUGGCGGCGUGCCUAACACAUGCAAGUCGAACGAAGUAUGUUUUUCGGAAUGUAUUUAGUGGCGGACGGGUGAGUAACGCGUGAAUAAUCUGCCCUGUACAAAGGAAUAGCCUCGGGAAACUGGGAUUAAAACCGUAUAACACUUUUGAGCCGCAUGGCUUAGAAGUCAAAUUGAUUAAGAGGUAUGGGAUGAGUUCGCGUCUGAUUAGCUAGUUGGUAAGGUAAAGGCUUACCAAGGCGACGAUCAGUAGCCGGCCUGAGAGGGUGAUCGGCCACACUGGAACUGAGACACGGUCCAGACUCCUACGGGAGGCAGCAGUGGGGAAUAUUGCACAAUGGAGGAAACUCUGAUGCAGCGACGCCGCGUGAGUGAAGAAGGUCUUCGGAUCGUAAAACUCUGUCCUUGGUGAAGAAAGAAAUGACGGUAGCCAAGGAGGAAGCCCCGGCUAACUACGU
RNAcentral lists this ribosomal RNA (463 nucleotides) under uncultured bacterium. RNAcentral describes it as "bacterial SSU rRNA". It matches the Rfam family "Bacterial small subunit ribosomal RNA", at positions 29 to 506 of the family's 1533-position model. The record is from RNAcentral.